AUUAGCUAGUUGAUGGGGUAAAGGCAUACCAAGGCGACGAUCUGUAGCGGGUCUGAGAGGAUGAUCCGCCACACUGGGACUGAGACACGGCCCAGACUCUUACGGGAGGCAGCGGUGGGGAAUAUUGGACAAUGGGCGGAAGCCUGAUCCAGCCAUGCCGCGUGUGUGAAGAAGGCCUUUUGGUUGUAAAGCACUUUAAGCGAGGAGGAGGAGCUUCAGGUUAAUACCCUGGAUGCUUGGACGUUACUCGCAGAAUAAGCACCGGCUAACUUUGUGCCAGCAGCCGCGGUAAUACAGAGGGUGCAAGCGUUAAUCGGAUUUACUGGGCGUAAAGCGCGCGUAGGCGGCUAAUUAAGUCAAAUGUGAAAUCCCCGAGCUUAACUUGGGAAUUGCAUUCGAUACUGGUUAGCUAGAGUGUGGGAGAGGAUGGUAGAAUUCCAGGUGUAGCGGUGAAAUGCGUAGAGAUCUGGAGGAAUACCGAUGGCGAAGGCAGCCAUCUGGCCUAACACUGACGCUGAGGUGCGAAAGCAUGGGGAGCAAACAGGAUUAGAUACCCUGGUAGUCCAUGCCGU
This 572-nucleotide ribosomal RNA is filed under the name uncultured bacterium. Its description in RNAcentral is "bacterial SSU rRNA". It matches the Rfam family "Bacterial small subunit ribosomal RNA", at positions 240 to 803 of the family's 1533-position model. The record is from RNAcentral.